Molecule: transfer RNA, 74 nt
Filed under: Eutrema salsugineum
Lineage: Eukaryota; Viridiplantae; Streptophyta; Magnoliopsida; Brassicales; Brassicaceae
Rfam family: tRNA
About the family: Transfer RNA (tRNA) molecules are approximately 80 nucleotides in length.
Source: Rfam by way of RNAcentral
GGGAUUGUAGUUCAAUUGGUUAGAGCACCGACCUGUCAAGGUGGAAGCUGCGGAUUCAAGCCCCGUCAUUCCCG